GACGAACGCUGGCGGCGUGCCUAAUACAUGCAAGUCGAGCGAAGUUUUUCUGGUGCUUGCACCGGAAAAACUUAGCGGCGAACGGGUGAGUAACACGUAAAGAACCUGCCUCAUAGACUGGGACAACUAUUGGAAACGAUAGCUAAUACCGGAUAACAGCAUUAACUGCAUGGUUGAUGUUUGAAAGUUGGUUUUGCUAACACUAUGAGAUGGCUUUGCGGUGCAUUAGCUAGUUGGUGGGGUAAAGGCCUACCAAGGCGACGAUGCAUAGCCGACCUGAGAGGGUGAUCGGCCACACUGGGACUGAGGCACGGCCCAGACUCCUACAGGAGGCAGCAGUAGGGAAUCUUCCGCAAUGGGCGAAAGCCUGACGGAGCAACGCCGCGUGAGUGAAGAAGGAUUUCGGUUC
RNAcentral lists this ribosomal RNA (409 nucleotides) under uncultured bacterium. Its description in RNAcentral is "bacterial SSU rRNA". It matches the Rfam family "Bacterial small subunit ribosomal RNA", at positions 28 to 424 of the family's 1533-position model. The record is from RNAcentral.